GACGAACGCUGGCGGCGUGCUUAACACAUGCAAGUCGAACGGUAAGGCCCUUCGGGGUACACGAGUGGCGAACGGGUGAGUAACACGUGGGUGAUCUGCCCUGCACUUCGGGAUAAGCCUGGGAAACUGGGUCUAAUACCGGAUAGGACUCCGGACUGCAUGGUCUGGGGUGGAAAGCUUUUGCGGUGUGGGAUGGGCCCGCGGCCUGUCAGCUUGUUGGUGGGGUAAUGGCCUACCAAGGCGACGACGGGUAGCCGGCCUGAGAGGGUGACCGGUCACACUGGGACUGAGAUACGGCCCAGACUCCUACGGGAGGCAGCAGUGGGGAAUAUUGCACAAUGGGCGCAAGCCUGAUGCAGCGACGCCGCGUGAGGGAUGACGGCCUUCGGGUUGUAAACCUCUUUCAGCUAUGACGAAGCGCAAGUGACGGUAGUAGCAGAAGAAGGACCGGCCAACUACGUGCCAGCCGCCGCGGUAA
Molecule: ribosomal RNA, 478 nt
Filed under: uncultured bacterium
Lineage: Bacteria
Description: partial 16S ribosomal RNA
Rfam family: Bacterial small subunit ribosomal RNA
Source: RNAcentral